This 294-nucleotide small nucleolar RNA is filed under the name Spathaspora passalidarum NRRL Y-27907. RNAcentral describes it as "Small nucleolar RNA snR191". It matches the Rfam family "Small nucleolar RNA snR191". Lineage: Eukaryota; Fungi; Ascomycota; Pichiomycetes; Serinales; Debaryomycetaceae. The record is from Rfam by way of RNAcentral.
CACCAAAGCAUUUAGUCAGGGUGAUACUCGUACGCCACCAUGUACAACUUACCUAAAAUAUUGCCUGUUACGUCUUUGGGAGAAUAAUACUUCUCGCCCUUGUGAACCCGAGGAGCAAUCCUUGGAUCCGAUCACCGUUCUGGUGAUUAGAUUGUAGUUCACACACCCCCCUCCGAGGAUAGUUCUUAUCCUUGACCCUUUAGAGUUGUACCGGAAUCUUUUUUGAGUUGAAGCUUGUCUGGAUGUUCAUUCGUCCGCUCCAUGACUUGGUUCUUAGUAUAGAAACCGACAUCU